This 229-nucleotide long non-coding RNA is filed under the name Pelobates cultripes (western spadefoot toad). Lineage: Eukaryota; Metazoa; Chordata; Amphibia; Anura; Pelobatidae. The record is from RNAcentral.
UAUUUGUAGAAUAAGAGAAAGAAUUAGCAGAGUAUUUGUAGAAUAAGAGAAAGAAGGAGCAGAGUAUUUGUAGAAUAGGAGAAAGAAGGAGCAGAGUAUUUGUAGAAUAAGAGAAAGAAUGAGCAGAGUAUUUGUAGAAUAAGAGAAAGAAGGAGCAGAGUAUUUGUAGAAUAGGAGAAAGAAUGAGCAGAGUAUUUGUAGAAUAGGAGAAAGAAGGAGCAGAGUAUUU